This 497-nucleotide ribosomal RNA is filed under the name uncultured bacterium. Its description in RNAcentral is "partial 16S ribosomal RNA". It matches the Rfam family "Bacterial small subunit ribosomal RNA", at positions 28 to 507 of the family's 1533-position model. The record is from RNAcentral.
GACGAACGCUGGCGGCGUGCCUAAUACAUGCAAGUUGAGCGCUGAAGGUUGGUACUUGUACCAACUGGAUGAGCAGCGAACGGGUGAGUAACGCGUGGGGAAUCUGCCUUUGAGCGGGGGACAACAUUUGGAAACGAAUGCUAAUACCGCAUAAAAACUUUAAACACAAGUUUUAAGUUUGAAAGAUGCAAUUGCAUCACUCAAAGAUGGUCUCGCGUUGUAUUAGCUAGUUGGUGAGGUAAAGGCUCACCAAGGCGAUGAUACAUAGCCGACCUGAGAGGGUGAUCGGCCACAUUGGGACUGAGACACGGCCCAAACUCCUACGGGAGGCAGCAGUAGGGAAUCUUCGGCGAUGGACGAAAGUCUGACCGAGCAACGCCGCGUGAGUGAAGAAGGUUUUCGGAUCGUAAAACUCUGUUGGUAGAGAAGAACGUUGGUGAGAGUGGAAAGCUCAUCAAGUGACGGUAACUACCCAGAAAGGGACGGCUAACUACGUG